Molecule: long non-coding RNA, 2010 nt
Filed under: Triticum aestivum (bread wheat)
Lineage: Eukaryota; Viridiplantae; Streptophyta; Magnoliopsida; Poales; Poaceae
Description: long non-coding RNA (TAES_LNC008744)
Source: RNAcentral
AUCAAAUUCAAUUUGAAUAGAGAAGAAGCUCUACUAAUUAAUUAUGAUAGUAACCUUACUUUUAGAUGCAUGGCAAAGCACAACCUUUGUGGAGCUAGAUUCGAGGACAAACAGAGUUUGCGGCUAGAUUGGCAGUGAAGGAAGUACUGUGGCAAGUGACAUCGGUGUUGAAAUAUUGUUCUGGUAUAUACUGAUUAUUGACACCAUACUUCGUCCCAAGCUCCCCAGGUUCUCGGCAAAAAAUGUACAGGGACCGUAUAUUUUCAAGAGUUGGCAAUAUAAGCUAAUAUUUAGGUACCUUUCUGUAUACUACAUAUUAGAUAUAUUGUCUUGAAACAUGCAUGCAUAAAAAGACGCAGAUGCCAUGUUUGGUUUAGCACACAUAGUUUAGUAGUACAGGAUAAAGAAAAUCUGAAAUGUAUUUAGAACUGAAAGUAUAUAUAAGAAGCAAUGACCAUAUUGUUGGAGAUUAUUAAUCCAAGUCCUAUAAAAAACAAAUCUCAAUGAACUUGUGGGGUAGCCUUAGCUGUAGUUGAGGGCAUAAAAGUGAUCGAGAAAACUAUCAAAUACAUGAAGGUUCAUAUGACUGAUGCCAUGAGUUCCACAGGAGCCUGAACCCCUGACUAGCGUUGCUGAUGAACAUCCGGCACGGGUCUGCAUCAACAGUUAAAGCAUCAGCCUGAUUGGUAAGAAGAAAUUCUUCAAACAACACUAAUCCUAUGGCAGACACAUCAGGUUGUGUAAUUUCCUUAUUAAGAAUUCAAUGAAGUCUACUUAACAUUGCUUAGGCCCGAUGUUCAGAUUAGUAAAAAUCAUGUCAAGCAGCUUUGAAUCCGCACUAAUGAUCACAUCCUAAACUGGUCCUAAAAAAUCAGCAGUGGACAUCUACGAUCAUAGUCAUAGGUGCAGUAGUAUUCCUUUAGUGAUUUAACAUGUUUUUGCCAAAAGAUGAGAAUCAUCCAUGUGACCAUGUCUCUGCAACAUAAACAGAUGAAGUAUCAAUGAUCACGAAUUACUCCCUAUGGGAAUUAACAAACACUUUCUUGGCAAAAAAAGCUCUAGUUCUGCAUAUUAAACUGUAGCAUACUGGGCAACAGAAAGCAAUGCAUUGGGUAUUAUUCAUCAUUGACAAUCCACACGACUAUACUAUAGUAAGCUAAAUAGGAGUUGAGCCAAUGAACCAUUUCACUAAAACUAACUAAACCACCAAUUAUAACAAAAUUGUGUUGUCCUCUGUCAAAUUCAAUCCGAUCGACCACUCUCGACUAUUAGUCCUGACUGAAGCGCCUGUUAACAAAUUAACUAAACUACCAUGAUUUGGAAAAACAAAAGUAUCUAAAUCACCAUUGCAAAGCCAAAGGAUAGUAGUAUUGACCCAGUUCCUUGCCAAAUCCAAGUUUGUGUCUGAAGGAGAGGAGAUUCUGCCCACUAACAUGGCCAUCCAGUGGCACGUACUCCACCUAGCACGUUCGCCAAUCCCACCCAAGUUCCAUGAGAGAACUUCAGAGCAGAAAAUUAUCUUGCUGGGUAGCCACUUAGAACACACGCCGAAUUUUCUACAGGGAGCGCGAUCUUCUCCAAAUAUUUUUGCGCCUCGAUGGUAAGUGUGGAGAGGCACAACAGGACGGGCACCAUUGUUGUCAAAGAGUGGAGAGCGUCCUGUGUCGCAGUAACUGGGGACGUGAAAUUCAAUGGAGAGGAGGAACAUGAGGUGGGGACAGAUCGAUGAACGGAACGCAGUCUGCCUCACCCCCGUUCCCUCGACCGGACGCGUCGCCACACGCCAUCGGAAGAAUCCGCCGCCGCGUGCUGGUCCAAGAGAGACGACCAAGGAGAGAGAUGGUUCGUGGUGGCGGUGGAGACGAUGGGAUGCGACAGAGGCUGGAUGCGGUGGACGGUGGCGGCGGAUGGGAAACGGAGCGACGACGGCAGUAGGGAGCAGGGUGGCGGCGCAAUCCAUGGCAGGCGAUGAGUCCGAUGGUGGGUUUCGUGAGGUUAGGGAUACGGGAG